AGCUUGCUCCUGGAUUCAGCGGCGGACGGGUGAGUAAUGCCUAGGAAUCUGCCUGGUAGUGGGGGACAACGUUUCGAAAGGAACGCUAAUACCGCAUACGUCCUACGGGAGAAAGCAGGGGACCUUCGGGCCUUGCGCUAUCAGAUGAGCCUAGGUCGGAUUAGCUAGUUGGUGGGGUAAUGGCUCACCAAGGCGACGAUCCGUAACUGGUCUGAGAGGAUGAUCAGUCACACUGGAACUGAGACACGGUCCAGACUCCUACGGGAGGCAGCAGUGGGGAAUAUUGGACAAUGGGCGAAAGCCUGAUCCAGCCAUGCCGCGUGUGUGAAGAAGGUCUUCGGAUUGUAAAGCACUUUAAGUUGGGAGGAAGGGCAGUAAGCGAAUACCUUGCUGUUUUGACGUUACCGACAGAAUAAGCACCGGCUAACUCUGUGCCAGCAGCCGCGGUAAUACAG
Molecule: ribosomal RNA, 455 nt
Filed under: Pseudomonas taiwanensis
Lineage: Bacteria; Pseudomonadati; Pseudomonadota; Gammaproteobacteria; Pseudomonadales; Pseudomonadaceae
Description: bacterial SSU rRNA
Rfam family: Bacterial small subunit ribosomal RNA
Source: RNAcentral